This 198-nucleotide ribosomal RNA is filed under the name uncultured bacterium. RNAcentral's name for it is "partial 16S ribosomal RNA". It matches the Rfam family "Bacterial small subunit ribosomal RNA", at positions 328 to 539 of the family's 1533-position model. The record is from RNAcentral.
ACGCUCGACACCUACAGGAGGCAGCAGUGGGGAAUAUUGCACAAUGGGGGAAACCCUGAUGCAGCGACGCCGCGUGAGCGAAGAAGUAUUUCGGUAUGUAAAGCUCUAUCAGCAGGGAAGAAACUGACGGUACCUGACUAAGAAGCACCGGCUAAAUACGUGCUAGCACGCCGCGGUAAUCUGAGCGGCUGGCAAGGC